RNAcentral lists this long non-coding RNA (615 nucleotides) under Hordeum vulgare. RNAcentral's name for it is "long non-coding RNA (HVUL_LNC018565)". Lineage: Eukaryota; Viridiplantae; Streptophyta; Magnoliopsida; Poales; Poaceae. The record is from RNAcentral.
AGUGGUGUCGAUAAGCAUCGUUCUUGUAUAAGAGGUUGUAGGAUUGACAUCCGCCGCCCUCGCAACGUGCAGGAGUGCAAAGGGGUGAUGGGCCCAUGUGACAGCCCGAUGCCGACGUUCUAGAAGCUUCCCCUCUCUUUCCGUUUUUGUCGUGUGGCUUAUUUUAAUUGUCGUGUCAUCAUCGCAUCAUGCGCAUCAUCAGCAUUGCAUCGGCGUCUCCGUUGCCGCCAGUUUUCAAAACUUGCAUCCGUUAGUAGUUGCCGGAUUCUCGUUGUUGUCCGUUCCGAGUCCGACUGCACACGCACGCGCCCGCGGCACCGUCGAAACCAUGUUUUUAAAGUGCGUUGAAAACUUUCUCUGAUCGGGUUGAGAUUUGACGUGUGGUCGUGAUUAGGUAUAGCGAGGCCGCCUGUUGGAUUUCGUCGCGAUCGGAUACCGUCUGGUACCCGAACGAUUGCCCGUAGCGGCACUGUAUUCGGUCUACCGUCGAACGUCUGUCGGUGUUUUAAAAGUCGAUGCCGCGCCGCACCACUUCCUUCUCAUCUUAGUCAACGCCACUCUACACACCUAACCCUAACCCGCCUCUCCGAUCGGACCGCACGAACGUGUCCAGAG